GUGUCAGCAGCCGCGGUAAUACGUAGGUGACGAGCGUUAUCCGGAUUUACUGGGCGUAAAGCGCUUGCAGGCGGUUGGUCAAGUCCGACGUGAAAUCUCUCGGCUUAACCGGGAGGAGUCGUUGGAGACUGAUCGACUUGAGGCAAUGAGAGGGAUGCGGAAUUCUCGGUGUAGUGGUGGAAUGCGUAGAUAUCGAGAAGAACACCAGUGGCGAAAGCGGCAUCCUGGCAUUGUCCUGACGCUCAUGAGCGAAAGCGUGGGGAGCGAACGGGAUUAGAAACCCUUGUAGUCC
RNAcentral lists this ribosomal RNA (292 nucleotides) under uncultured bacterium. RNAcentral describes it as "partial 16S ribosomal RNA". It matches the Rfam family "Bacterial small subunit ribosomal RNA", at positions 505 to 796 of the family's 1533-position model. The record is from RNAcentral.